RNAcentral lists this ribosomal RNA (253 nucleotides) under uncultured bacterium. RNAcentral's name for it is "partial 16S ribosomal RNA". It matches the Rfam family "Bacterial small subunit ribosomal RNA", at positions 524 to 776 of the family's 1533-position model. The record is from RNAcentral.
UACGUAGGGUGCGAGCGUUAAUCGGAAUUACUGGGCGUAAAGCGUGCGCAGGCGGUUUUGUAAGCCAGAUGUGAAAUCCCCGGGCUUAACCUGGGAAUGGCAUUUGGGACUGCAAGGCUGGAGUGUGGCAGAGGAGACUGGAAUUCCUGGUGUAGCAGUGAAAUGCGUAGAUAUCAGGAGGAACACCGAUGGCGAAGGCAGGUCUCUGGGCAUUAACUGACGCUGAGGAGCGAAAGCAUGGGGAGCGAACAGG